This 211-nucleotide long non-coding RNA is filed under the name Mytilus galloprovincialis (Mediterranean mussel). Lineage: Eukaryota; Metazoa; Mollusca; Bivalvia; Mytilida; Mytilidae. The record is from RNAcentral.
AAAAUAUGUCUUGUGCAAAUUACUCUGAUAUACUUUAGAUUGAAUAGAGACUAUCAAAGAUCUGCCAUCAACAACUGAUAACCUGAUAGCAUUAAAAUAUGACAAAGGGCAAACACUGACGAAGUUCAAGACUUUUGGGAAGGGCACAUGAAUAUUUGGCAGAGUUGAACCAGUAUAAUUUUUUUUUUAUAUUAUAUUAUAUUCUCCCCCA